GACGAACGCUGGCGGCGUGCUUAACACAUGCAAGUCGAGCGGUAAGGCCCUUUCGGGGGUACACGAGCGGCGAACGGGUGAGUAACACGUGGGUGACCUGCCCUCAGCUCUGGGAUAAGCCUGGGAAACCGGGUCUAAUACCGGAUAUGACUCCAUGACGCAUGUUGUGGGGUGGAAAGCCUUGUGCGGCUGAGGAUGGGCCCGCGGCCUAUCAGCUUGUUGGUGGGGUGANGGCCUACCAAGGCGACGACGGGUAGCCGGCCUGAGAGGGCGACCGGCCACACUGGGACUGAGACACGGCCCAGACUCCUACGGGAGGCAGCAGUAGGAAUAUUGCGCAAUGGGCGAAAGCCUGACGCAGCGACGCCGCGUGGGGAUGAAGGUC
RNAcentral lists this ribosomal RNA (385 nucleotides) under uncultured bacterium. RNAcentral's name for it is "bacterial SSU rRNA". It matches the Rfam family "Bacterial small subunit ribosomal RNA", at positions 28 to 416 of the family's 1533-position model. The record is from RNAcentral.